UUGAUCCUGGCUCAGAACGAACGCUGGCGGCGUGGCUAAGACAUGCAAGUCGAACGGACUGUCUGGAUGAGUAAUCUGAAAGACAGUUAGUGGCGAAAGGGUUAGUAAUGGAUAGGUAACGUACCCCGAGCUCCGGAAUAGCCAUUCGAAAGGGUGGGUAAUACCGGAUAAUACCAUGUGCCCCAAGGUAUAUGGUCAAAGAUUUAUCGGCACGGGAGCGGCCUGUCUCCCAUCAGUUUGUUGGUGAGGUAACGGCUCACCAAGGCAGCGACGGGUAGCGGGACUGAGAGGUUGACCCGCAACAUCGGGACUGAGACACUGCCCGGACCUCCACGGAGGGCUGCAGUAACGAAUAUUGCGCAAUGGGCGAAAGCCUGACGCAGCGACGCCGCGUGUAGGAUGAAGUCCCUCGGGAUGUAAACUACUGUCAGGGGUUAGAAAGUCCGGUUCGCCGGAUUGAUCGGCCCCAGAGGAAGUCACGGCUAACUUCGUGCCAGCAGCCGCGGUAAUACGAAGGUGGCUAGCGUUGUUCGGUGUCACUGGGCUUAAAGCGUGUGUAGGCGGAAAAGAAAGCGUUUUGUGAAAGCCCCCGGCUUAACCGGGGAACUGCAAGACGAACUGCUUUUCUUGAGGCAAGCAGGGGUGCGUGGAACUCUUGGUGGAGCGGUGGAAUGCGUAGAUAUCAAGAGGAACGCCGGUGGUGAAGACGACGCACUGCGCUUGUCCUGACGCUGAGACACGAAAGCGUGGGGAGCGAACGGGAUUAGAUACCCCGGUAGUCCACGCCGUAAACGAUG
RNAcentral lists this ribosomal RNA (797 nucleotides) under uncultured organism. RNAcentral describes it as "bacterial SSU rRNA". It matches the Rfam family "Bacterial small subunit ribosomal RNA", at positions 13 to 811 of the family's 1533-position model. The record is from RNAcentral.